RNAcentral lists this transfer RNA (60 nucleotides) under Plagiorchis multiglandularis. RNAcentral describes it as "tRNA-Thr". The record is from RNAcentral. Lineage: Eukaryota; Metazoa; Platyhelminthes; Trematoda; Plagiorchiida; Plagiorchiidae.
GGAGCAAUAGUUUAAUUGAAUACUGCUUUUGUAAUGCAGAGGUGUAGGUUGUCUGCUUCU